CCUACGGUGGCAGCAGUGAGGAAUAUUGGUCAAUGGACGGAAGUCUGAACCAGCUAUGCCGCGUGCAGGAAGACGGCUCUAUGAGUUGUAAACUGCUUUUGUACAAGGGUAAACCUGAAUACGUGUAUUCAGCUGACAGUACUGUACGACUACGGAUCGGCUAACUUCGUGCCAGCAGCCGCGGUAAUACGGAGGAUCCAAGCGUUAUCCGGAUUUAUUGGGUAUAAAGGGUGCGUAGGCGGAUUGAUAAGUUAGAGGUGAAAUGUCCGAGCUUAACACGGGAAGUGACUCGAAUACUGUUGAUCUAGAGAGUAGAUGCGGUAGGCGGAAUGGAUGGUGUAGCGGUGAAAUGCUUAGAGAUCAUACAGAACA
Molecule: ribosomal RNA, 372 nt
Filed under: uncultured bacterium
Lineage: Bacteria
Description: partial 16S ribosomal RNA
Rfam family: Bacterial small subunit ribosomal RNA
Source: RNAcentral